This 226-nucleotide long non-coding RNA is filed under the name Mytilus galloprovincialis (Mediterranean mussel). Lineage: Eukaryota; Metazoa; Mollusca; Bivalvia; Mytilida; Mytilidae. The record is from RNAcentral.
CAAUCUCUAGCAAGGGGUUAAAUUGAAGUUCACAUGAAUACGGAUUUAAUGAGGUCGACUUAUUCACUUGCAAGUGAAUGAGUAAUUAUCAAUGUUUCUUCGCUUAAUUUGACAAAAUUGAACCAUUUUGGAUGCUAAAAGCGAAUUAUUAUUUCACUAUUCAUUUCAUUAUUGAUUGAACAAAAAAAAAUCUUACUUUAGUUUUUUAUAUAUCUCGUAGCUAGUG